CAGCAGCCACGGUAAUACGAAGGGUGCAAGCGUUAAUCGGAAUUACUGGGCGUAAAGCGCACGCAGGCGGUCUGUCAAGUCAGAUGUGAAGUCCCCGGGCUUAACCUGGGAACUGCAUUUGAAACUGGCAAGCUAGAGUCUUGUAGAGGGGGGUGGAAUUCCAGGUGUAGCGGUGAAAUGCGUAGAGAUCUGGAGGAAUACCGGUGGCGAAGGCGGCCCCCUGGACAAAGACUGACGCUCAGGUGCGAAAGCGUGGGGAGCAAACAGGAUUAGAUACCCGUGUAGUCCCUGUCUCUUAUAC
RNAcentral lists this ribosomal RNA (301 nucleotides) under uncultured bacterium. Its description in RNAcentral is "partial 16S ribosomal RNA". It matches the Rfam family "Bacterial small subunit ribosomal RNA", at positions 509 to 807 of the family's 1533-position model. The record is from RNAcentral.